UUACAUUGUGACUACACUGCUGAU
RNAcentral lists this non-coding RNA (24 nucleotides) under Arabidopsis thaliana (thale cress). The record is from RNAcentral. Lineage: Eukaryota; Viridiplantae; Streptophyta; Magnoliopsida; Brassicales; Brassicaceae.